GUGGGGAAUCUUGCGCAAUGGGCGAAAGCCUGACGCAGCAACGCCGCGUGGGGGAUGAAGGCUCUCGGGUUGUAAACCCCUUUCAGCAGGGACGAACUAAGACGGUACCUGCAGAAGAAGCCCCGGCUAACUACGUGCCAGCAGCCGCGGUAACACGUAGGGGGCAAGCGUUGUCCGGAUUUAUUGGGCGUAAAGAGCUCGUAGGUGGCUGAGUAAGUCGGAUGUCAAAUCCCCAGGCUCAACCUGGGAUCCCAUCCGAUACUGCUCUGGCUAGAGUCCGGUAGGGGAGCGUGGAAUUCCUGGUGUAGCGGUGAAAUGCGCAGAUAUCAGGAGGAACACCAGCGGCGAAGGCGGCGCUCUGGGCCGGUACUGACACUGAGGAGCGAAAGCGUGGGUAGCAAACAGGAUUAGAAACCCGAGUAGUCC
Molecule: ribosomal RNA, 426 nt
Filed under: uncultured bacterium
Lineage: Bacteria
Description: partial 16S ribosomal RNA
Rfam family: Bacterial small subunit ribosomal RNA
Source: RNAcentral